GUAACCUUUUAGGAACCAGCCGCCUAAGGUGGGACAGAUGAUUAGGGUGAAGUCGUAACAAGGUAGCCGUAGGAGAACCUGCGGCUGGAUCACCUCCUUUCUAAGGAAUAUUACGGAA
This 118-nucleotide ribosomal RNA is filed under the name Lactiplantibacillus plantarum. RNAcentral's name for it is "Lactobacillus plantarum partial 16S ribosomal RNA". The stretch from base 1 to 100 matches the Rfam family "Bacterial small subunit ribosomal RNA", at positions 1435 to 1533 of the family's 1533-position model. Lineage: Bacteria; Bacillati; Bacillota; Bacilli; Lactobacillales; Lactobacillaceae. The record is from RNAcentral.